GUUUUAAAUAUGUAUUUUACCCAGCGUACACUUUGAAUUUUACUCUAAAUUUCUUUGAAAUUUAAUUGGUAUGUUUUUUUGUUAUGUUUUCAUGCACUGUCUAUGAUUUUAGGCAGCGUGUGAACGGGACUUUUAUUUUGAUCUGUCAGUGACAUCACAUGGCUGGACCGCUCUCCUCUGGCUCAACAAAGGUUUGGGUUUUAUCACGCUCAAGUGUUUGAGGUGUUGAAAUCGAUACGAAUCGAUCAAUCGAUGUGUGGAUUUUACAAGUAAUGUGAAAUGAAUGGAUUAUGUGAGGUGCCGUGUAACGCUUUACAGUUGCGUUUUCAGUUAAUAGGCAAAUACCGUGUUCUCUCCUGUCAUUCAGUUUUAAUCUUCAAAAUCUUGACAUCAGAAAUUAUUUAAUUACAUUACAGCCUUUUUAUUAUUAUAUUUUUGUGUCUGAAAACUGAACUACGGCGUUACACGUACCCUGACAGUUUGUCUCGUAAAUGGCCCAAUAUUUAGGAGUGUUAUUUGUUUGAGUAAAGCGCGUUCAUUCAUAUGUAAAUAACAUUAGAUUCGGAUUUGUAUUUCUUUCUGUUAAUUGUUUUCCUCAUAUUAAACAAGACAACAUGUCCAAACAUACAGGAACAAGAAACUGCGAAUAUCUGAAAUCCAUGUGACACUAUUAUCAAGAUGGCAUUUAUUAAAGAGGAGAUUGAAGACGUGAGCAUUUCAGAAACAUUCAGAGUGAAAAAUGAAGAUGCAGAGGAUGACACAGAAAAAAAAAUGAUUUCAAAGCCACCUCAUUAUCGAUUUUCUGGAGUUCAGCCAUCCAGCUAAACAAGACUGUCAACAUGCUCUGAGCAGUUUUUUUUAACAGCACAUGUAAGUGUGUCAUGCUCUGUUCAGUUGAUGAUACUUCUCUCCUAUUCUCCGCUAAGCAGACAGAUGCUGUCACACCCCACAUACUCAUCAUCUGCAAAGAUCAACUGCCACUCAUUUUUACAAAAAUACACAUAAUGAUGGAUGUGAAGACAUCACAGGAAACUGGAAAAAUAUUUAAUUGGAACUUAGCCUUUGUUUCUAUUUGUAUUUGUGUGUCUAUCUGUUCUGUUAUAUUUCAUUUACUUAUUUACUCAGUCUUAAAUUUACAUUCAAGUGUAAUUUUUAUGCUUUCUUGUAAUGACUUUUUAGAGCAUUGUCAUUUUUGCUAUAAUUUCCUGUCAAUAAAAAAGCAUAAUUGACAUAACUUGCUGUCUUUUUUUU
Molecule: long non-coding RNA, 1251 nt
Filed under: Sinocyclocheilus anshuiensis
Lineage: Eukaryota; Metazoa; Chordata; Actinopteri; Cypriniformes; Cyprinidae
Description: lncRNA (ENSSANG00000002113.1)
Source: RNAcentral